This 501-nucleotide ribosomal RNA is filed under the name uncultured bacterium. RNAcentral's name for it is "partial 16S ribosomal RNA". It matches the Rfam family "Bacterial small subunit ribosomal RNA", at positions 30 to 523 of the family's 1533-position model. The record is from RNAcentral.
AUUAAACGCUGGCGGCAGGCCUAACACAUGCAAGUCGAGCGGGGGAAGGUAGCUUGCUACCGGACCUAGCGGCGGACGGGUGAGUAAUGCUUAGGAAUCUGCCUAUUAGUGGGGGACAACAUCUCGAAAGGGAUGCUAAUACCGCAUACGUCCUACGGGAGAAAGCAGGGGAUCUUCGGACCUUGCGCUAAUAGAUGAGCCUAAGUCGGAUUAGCUAGUUGGUGGGGUAAAGGCCUACCAAGGCGACGAUCGGUAGCGGGUCUGAGAGGAUGAUCCGCCACACUGGGACUGAGCGACGGCCCAGACUCCUACGGGAGGCAGCAGUGGGGAAUAUUGGACAAUGGGGGGAACCCUGAUCCAGCCAUGCCGCGUGUGUGAAGAAGGCCUUAUGGUUGUAAAGCACUUUAAGCGAGGAGGAGGCUACUCUAGUUAAUACCUAGGGAUAGUGGACGUUACUCGCAGAAUAAGCACCGGCUAACUCUGUGCCAGCCGCCGCCGUAA